Macrobrachium nipponense is the source of this 3117-nucleotide long non-coding RNA. RefSeq lists it as uncharacterized. NCBI's taxonomy places the organism in Eukaryota, Metazoa, Arthropoda, Malacostraca, Decapoda, Palaemonidae. The record is from RefSeq and is a predicted model, not a curated record. The transcript has 7 exons.
UUGAUAUUGGAUUAGACGUCUCAGGUCGGUACAGAGUCAUUUGAUGAAAUAUUGUCCAUGAAAAUAAAACCGAAACUAAAAGUAUAUGACCUCAAAGGACGAAAUAACUUGGCCAAAAAAAUAAGGUAUUUGACGGGAUUCAGUCUCAUGGUAAUCCAGUACAUCUGCAACAAUGAUUAAAAUUUCUUUGGAGUAACAGGACUAGCGAAUAAUGAAUUAUAUGCCUUUGUAUUAUUCUACCAACAUCCCACAAUAAUAUAAUUGUUAAAAGUUCGUGUAUAAGUUUUUAAAAACUUUAUAAAAGCUUUCGAAGUUUCGAACCCUUCUUUGGCCUCUGGCUUCAUCUUCAGCCCAAAUGAACUCUCGUGAUACAGAGCUUUUCCGAACAAAUUCCAACAUGCAUUGUAAUUCACAAGCUAACAAUAUUCACCUUUAAAUAUCCCCGACAGUCACGUCAACUCCUGAAGGAGAUCCAGCCGAUCAUCAUAACGCUAGUGAACCCGAUUAGGCCGAAGCUAGGUUCGAGAGCCAGUCACGUGUAUGACAUUUCUUUCUUUUUUCUUUUUUUUUUUCGACGUGACAAUAACUAACUGAAACUCGGUGUUCGUGGUAAGACGUUGGCGCUCGAGUUCAGUACUUUAACGAAGUUUUUCUCUUUUAUUUGCACCAGGACUUGUGUACUUUGUGUUAGUGAAUCAAGCUGGAUAAAUGCACCUGCAAAACCAGUUAAUUGAGGAAAGACACUGACAACAGAGUUUAUAGUUAUAGGGUAAAAAACCGCAUGGUACAGGGGUGGACCAUGUAGAUCAAUGUGUACAACCCCAAGAAAAGUACAUUAUAACGCGUCCUGACACCGGAGUAGAGGUCUUUAGCUCCGUUUCUCACCAACAACAAGUCGCAUCUGAUGCCCAUCUCCGAUGUCAGGACGCGUUAUAAUGUACUUUAUUUGGGGUUGUACACAUUGAUCGUAAAUGGUCCCCCAUGUACCAUGCGGUUUUUUACCCUAGUACCAAUUUUAUGGCAUUCAGAUCCUAUAGGCUAUACUAUAUUUCUGAACAGAUACGUAAAAGAAAUUUGAUACAGAUUAAACCAGAGAGCCAUUUUCAGCUCCUCGUCAGCUGAAGCAAAAUGAAACGUCCUAAGGAACAACUUGAUAAGUCAGUACAUAUUUAUAACUACGUACAUUGGAAUGACAAGAGCUGAAUCUUGGACAUAAAAGUCCUGGCACAAGAGGGAAAUAACAGUAAAGAACUGAAUGAUGCAAAAAACAUACUGAAAGUCCAUCACUUGAAGAAAGGGAUGUAAUGAGGACUUUCUUUAUUUCUAGUCAAAGUGAACCAAGUGAGAUGCAAUCAAAAUUCCACAGGCCCUGGGUGAGAUCGGCCAAGAACAUCUUUUAUUCUAACUCCAAUAGAAUUUGUUUCAAGUUACCACAUGAGUUUCAAGAGUUAGUAUAUUGGACUGUUCUGCGGGCCGUGCUCACCCUAGGUCCGUCGACAGCGUUGACGAGUGAGUCCACCUGCAGAGGGGGUGGGCCUCCUGUUGGGGCAGGCAGAGGACUGGUUGCUGGGGAUGAUGUGCUGCUGCUACUUUUGGAGACAGUGAUGACAUUUCCCAUCUGUCAGUAAGGCUGGAGUCUAGAGAUGGUUGGUGUUAAGUUUCAAGUUUCAAUGACACAAGUGUGAUUUCUACAUUAUCAGUUUCUGUCUUCGGGAUCACUGGCCUAUUUGGCUAUUAGGAAGAAGUCAAUCUGAUGAAACUACUUAUCAAUGACAGCAGUAAUUCUGAUAUGAGCAAAAUCUACAGUACACUGUAAUCACAACGAUUAUGAUACCAAAGUGUUCUACUGCUGGAUUAUGAUACCAAAGUGUUCUACUGCUCAGAAUGGUAAGAGUUGCUGCAAUUAGUAAAUCAACAUAAAGUUGUUUGAAUGUUAACAUUUACACGAAAACAAAUUUACUGGGACGCAACACCAAAAAUAUAUCACAAAGAUAAUGCACAACACCCUCAUAACAGACAAAACAUUAAUACACCACCUCUGUUUCUUUGGAAUCCAGUUAUUCGGCGUAGUUCUUCAAAGGCUCCAAGGGAUCCCUCUGUAACUUAGGUUAGAAAAUAAUAUACAGUAUAAUACACGGUGCUAGUUGUAAAAUAAGGACUGUGAGAGUUGAGUUAAUGAAACUAGUCUAGAGAAGGAAAAAAAAACACUAAAUUUAUACAAUCAACAAAGCUUUUCUCUAAAAUGAGUGAUUAUGACUACCAGUAUUAGCAUUCCAGAUUAUGAGUAAAGACCUACGCCAGGGCAUACUUUUGAAAAUAUAUUACAAAAAAACAACUAAGUACGUAUUACAAAACUGAAUGCAGUAUGAUCUUGAACUUUUGGAGUAAACUAGUCAUUCCAUUCCAAGUUGCCAGUUUUGUGAAAUUAACAGUUAACCUUACACAUUUACAAAUAUCUUUCAAGAGUAUGUUGCCCCUCUGGUGUUAAAUAGUGAUAUAAUGAUAAACGGGGGGGACAGAACAUUCACACUGACAAGUGAGGGCUACAUCUAUGACUAAAAUUAGUCACAUUAACUGAAUUUUAAGUCAUGCAAGGAUUAUGAAAAUAGGUGCAAUAAAGUGAAUAACCAAAGUUCAUCAUCGAAAUCUUGACUGCUUUCAAUAUCAAAGGUGUAACCAAUACUUCAUGUAAGUUUAAAGUAUAAAAUCUCCUAUUAACCUGAUUCAUUUCAAUAUCUUGGGAAAAAAGUUUUGGUGGAGGAACAUGAAAGAAUACUGUUGAUGUCUACUGCAAUACUUAUACGUACUGAUAAGCAUUAGAAAUAUCAUGAAAAGUCCAAAGGUGACUUAACAAUAAAAGUAGAUAAGCUCCUCUAUCAUAUGGAAGCAAGCAUGUAAAAAAUAUACUGCUAAUAACUAUCCAAUGCCUUAUAAUAGUUUUACAAGUGUAUUAAGAGUUUUGUUCCAUGUAUAAUAAAAUUAUAAUGGCUUGUACAAUGCAUUUAAAAGUAUAUCAAGCAUUUACCACUUCAACAAAUGCCUAUACUUGGUACAGUUGUGAAUGUUCCACUUCCUAUUGUAUAUUACUAUUAUUAUUAUUAUUAUUAUUAUUAUUAU